Molecule: long non-coding RNA, 272 nt
Filed under: Homo sapiens (human)
Lineage: Eukaryota; Metazoa; Chordata; Mammalia; Primates; Hominidae
Description: non-protein coding lnc-MNX1-20:1
Source: RNAcentral
CACCCAUGUUGUUGUGAAAUACAUGAUUUCAUUCUUUGCUCUGGCUGAAUUGUAUUCCAUUGUGUUUUUAUACCACAUUUUCUUUAUCCAGUUGUCCAUUGAUUGGCGCUUAGGUUGAUUCCAUAUCUUUGCUAUUGUGAUCAGUGCUGCUAUAAACAUAUGAGUGCAGGCAUCUUUUUGAUAUAAUGAUUUCUUUUCCUUUGGGUAGAUACCCAGUACUGGGAUUGCUGGAUCAGAUGGUAGUUCUAUUUUCAGUUCUUUGAGAAAUCUCC